RNAcentral lists this ribosomal RNA (586 nucleotides) under uncultured bacterium. RNAcentral describes it as "partial 16S ribosomal RNA". It matches the Rfam family "Bacterial small subunit ribosomal RNA", at positions 355 to 937 of the family's 1533-position model. The record is from RNAcentral.
UGGGGAAUUUUGGACAAUGGGCGAAAGCCUGAUCCAGCAAUGCCGCGUGUGUGAAGAAGGCCUUCGGGUUGUAAAGCACUUUUGUCCGGAAAGAAAUCCUCUGGGUUAAUACCUCGGGGGGAUGACGGUACCGGAAGAAUAAGCACCGGCUAACUACGUGCCAGCAGCCGCGGUAAUACGUAGGGUGCAAGCGUUAAUCGGAAUUACUGGGCGUAAAGCGUGCGCAGGCGGUUUUGUAAGACGGAUGUGAAAUCCCCGGGCUUAACUGGGAACUGCAUUCGUGACUGCAAGGCUAGAGUAUGGCAGAGGGGGGUAGAAUUCCACGUGUAGCAGUGAAAUGCGUAGAGAUGUGGAGGAAUACCGAUGGCGAAGGCAGCCCCCUGGGCCAAUACUGACGCUCAUGCACGAAAGCGUGGGGGAGCAAACAGGAUUCAGAUACCCUGGUAGUCCACGCCCUAAAACGAUGUCAACUAGUUGUUGGGGAUUCAUUUCCUUAGUAACGUAGCUAACGCGUGAAGUUGACCGCCUGGGGAGUACGGUCGCAAGAUUAAAACUCAAAGGAAUUGACGGGGUCAUAGCUGUUUCC